RNAcentral lists this ribosomal RNA (492 nucleotides) under uncultured bacterium. RNAcentral's name for it is "bacterial SSU rRNA". It matches the Rfam family "Bacterial small subunit ribosomal RNA", at positions 29 to 509 of the family's 1533-position model. The record is from RNAcentral.
AGUGAACGCUGGCGGCAGGCCUAAUACAUGCAAGUCGAACGGCAGCACAGCAGAGCUUGCUCUGUGGGUGGCGAGUGGCGGACGGGUGAGGAAUACAUGGGAAUCUGCCCAGUCGUGGGGGAUAACGUAUGGAAACGUACGCUAAUACCGCAUGCGCCCUACGGGGGAAAGUCGGGGACCGCAAGGCCUGACGCGAUUGGAUGAGCCCAUGUUCGAUUAGCUAGUUGGCGGGGUAAAGGCCCACCAAGGCGACGAUCGAUAGCUGGUCUGAGAGGAUGAUCAGCCACACUGGAACUGAGACACGGUCCAGACUCCUACAGGAGGCAGCAGUAGGGAAUAUUGGACAAUGGGGGCAACCCUGAUCCAGCCAUGCCGCGUGAGUGAAGAAGGCCCUCGGGUUGUAAAGCUCUUUUGUCCGGAAAGAAAAGCAUCUGGUUAAUACCCGGGUGUUCUGACGGUACCGGAAGAAUAAGCACCGGCUAACUUCGUGCC